This 439-nucleotide ribosomal RNA is filed under the name uncultured bacterium. Its description in RNAcentral is "partial 16S ribosomal RNA". It matches the Rfam family "Bacterial small subunit ribosomal RNA", at positions 338 to 795 of the family's 1533-position model. The record is from RNAcentral.
CCUACGGGUGGCAGCAGUGGGGGAUAUUGCACAAUGGAGGAAACUCUGAUGCAGCGACGCCGCGUGAGGGAAGACGGUCUUCGGAUUGUAAACCUCUGUCUUUGGGGAAGAAAAUGACGGUACCCAAACAGGACGCUCCGGCUAACUACGUGCCAGCAGCCGCGGUAAUACGUAGGGAGCGAGCGGUGUCCGGAAUUACUGGGUGAAAAGGGAGCGUAGGCGGGCGGGAAAGUUGAAUGUUAAAUCUACCGGCUUAACUGGUAGCUGCGUUCAAAACUGCUGGUCUUGAGUGGAGUAGAGGCAGGCGGAAUGCCUAGUGUAGCGGUGAAAUGCGUAGAUAUUAGGAAGAACACCAAUGGCGAAGGCAGCCUGCUGGGCUUUAACUGACGCUGAGGCACGAAAGCGUGGGGAGCAAACAGGAUUAGAUACCCGGGUAGUC